CCAUCUAAUUAAACAUACACAUACACACAUAAUUCUAACAUCCUAGCAUCCAUAAUACCUGAGAUCAAGUUUACAAAUCCUUAUAUUUAAAUAAUUCAAAUUACAAUCCCAGUCGAAUGACAAUGCUUUAGCUCAGGCAGAUGAAUUUCCAUUCUUAUCCCAUUUAGUGACGUGCUCUCUUCCUUUGUGUAUAGUCACAUUCAUAGCAAUCUCCAUGUCUUGUUCAUCAGUUAACUGGCAUCGUGUUUCGAAAAUGCAAGACAAAUCUGGUGUCCUGGUGACUGAGCUUGAUUCAAAACCCGUUUCCUCCUCUUUCACCCACUCUCAAUAACCACAUUUCAUGCUGCACGUAUUGAAUAGUUUACCUUUGUUGUCGGUGUUCUUCUCCACCUUGAAGCACUUCAAAAAGACAUGUUUACACCAUGGCAGGGUCAUUUGUUCGGGCAUUCCAUGAAAAAAUGACCCUUUAGUCUACAGCUAUGACAAACUCCAUAAUUCUUUCCUUUCAUUUUAAGCUGUGAAUCGAACACCAAACAAAAUC
This 541-nucleotide long non-coding RNA is filed under the name Olea europaea subsp. europaea. Lineage: Eukaryota; Viridiplantae; Streptophyta; Magnoliopsida; Lamiales; Oleaceae. The record is from RNAcentral.